UCCCUCUAGCCUACUCCCCCUCACAAACCCAUCCACCCCAAACAGAUCCAAACUUCACUGUGCUGAGACCAGACUACAUGGGCUCUCACGGGAGCUGGACUGUCAUCUCCUGGCAUCAGCUGUUGGAAUGCAUCAUGGCCAUGGAGAGUGCCGUUGACUAUCUUGUCUAUGAUCAUCAUUUGUGAUAAGAGUGUGGUUUCCGGCUACAACUCAGAAACUGAAGAGCAGUUUACAGCUAUAGAGUCCACAGUGUUCAACUCUGAGGACGGCACAUCAGAUCAGGAGCAUAUCUGUAGAGUUAUGGAUCGUGAAUUUGUCCCCAGGGCCAGACUGUCCUACUGUAGUGUCCUAAGAUGUCCGAUGAAGAAAAGUCCAUUGUGGGGCUGCAUAUAGUGCAUGAAGAAGUCAGGAUUUUUUUAAGCCAUUAAUGAAGGAGAUCUGCUGCACAUCGCAAAUGCACAACUGCAAUUGGUCAGAAUGUGACUUUGAGGAAGCAGCUGACUGGAAAAGACCUUGAAGGAGAGAACUGCCAACUCUGUAUCAGGGAUAAGUCUGCACAGAGAUGUGGAACAUGAUGAUGGUACCAUGAGUAUAAAAAAAAAUGCAUUUUUGAAAUAAAAAA
Long non-coding RNA from Pelmatolapia mariae (spotted tilapia), 622 nucleotides. RefSeq lists it as uncharacterized. The transcript is spliced from 3 exons. The record is from RefSeq and is a predicted model, not a curated record. NCBI's taxonomy places the organism in Eukaryota, Metazoa, Chordata, Actinopteri, Cichliformes, Cichlidae.